RNAcentral lists this ribosomal RNA (507 nucleotides) under uncultured bacterium. Its description in RNAcentral is "bacterial SSU rRNA". It matches the Rfam family "Bacterial small subunit ribosomal RNA", at positions 32 to 518 of the family's 1533-position model. The record is from RNAcentral.
AACGCUGGCGGCGCGUCUUAAGCAUGCAAGUCGGACGGCAAGGGUUGGUGCUUGCACAACUCCUAGAGUGGCGGACGUGGUGAGUAACGCGUGGGUGACCGUGCCCUCGAGAUGGGGAGUAGCCAUUAGAAAUAGUGGAUAAUACCGAAUACGCUCAUGACCCUGUGGGGAUAUGAGGAAAACAGGCUACGGCCUGGCUCGAGGAUGGGCCCGCGUCCCAUUAGCUAGUUGGUGAGGUAACGGCCCACCAAGGCGACGAUGGGUAUCCGGCCUGAGAGGGUGUACGGACACAUUGGGACUGAGAUACGGCCCAAACUCCUACGGGAGGCAGCAGCUAAGAAUAUUCCGCAAUGGACGAAAGUCUGACGGAGCGACGCCGCGUGGAUGAAGAAGGCCGGAAAAGGUUGUAAAAUCCUUUUGCUGAUGAAGAAUAAGUGUGGUAGGGAAUGACCGCAUGAUGACAUUAGUCGGUGAAUGAGCCCCGGCUAACUACGUGCCAGCAGCGGC